UAUCAAUAAGCGGAGGAAAAGAAACCAACAGGGAUUGCCUCAGUAACGGCGAGUGAAGCGGCAAAAGCUCAAAUUUGAAAUCCCCCGGGAAUUGUAAUUUGAAGGUGGCCUCAGUUAGUCCAAACAUUCUUAAGUCCAUUGGAAAAUGGCGCCAUGGAGGGUGAUAGCCCCGUAAAGAUGUCGUUUGUUCUAUUUUCUCUGGCCACCAAAGAGUCGAGUUGUUUGGGAAUGCAGCUCUAAGUGGGUGGUAAAUUCCAUCUAAAGCUAAAUAUUGGCGAGAGACCGAUAGCGAACAAGUACAGUGAUGGAAAGAUGAAAAGCACUUUGAAAAGAGAGUGAAAAAGUACGUGAAAUUGUUGAAAGGGAAGGGCUUGCAAGCAGACACAACCUCGUGU
This 395-nucleotide ribosomal RNA is filed under the name Metschnikowia australis. Its description in RNAcentral is "LSU rRNA". It matches the Rfam family "Eukaryotic large subunit ribosomal RNA", at positions 41 to 446 of the family's 3401-position model. Lineage: Eukaryota; Fungi; Ascomycota; Pichiomycetes; Serinales; Metschnikowiaceae. The record is from RNAcentral.